UCAAUGGCUCCCCGAUGCCACGAGAAGAUAAUAUUAAGAAAAUUAUACGAGUUUAAGUUCUUGAGCCAUUUGACCUCUGAAAUGGAAUUAUUCAGCAAAGUAAGGAUUGACAUAAAUAAUCCCAAAUAUUUCUGGGAGCCAUGAGUCAACCCUUUUUUGUCUUCGUCAAUGACUUCAAUGGGACCCACACCACGUUGCGGUCGGCCCCUCACCAUUCUCCACGCGGUGCACGCCGUGGAGGAUGGGAUGUAUCCGGGUUUUUGGAAUCUGGCUGCCGGUGAUUCGUUCUUUUUCGACACUUCUGUUU
RNAcentral lists this long non-coding RNA (307 nucleotides) under Phoenix dactylifera (date palm). RNAcentral describes it as "long non-coding RNA (PDAC_LNC001684)". Lineage: Eukaryota; Viridiplantae; Streptophyta; Magnoliopsida; Arecales; Arecaceae. The record is from RNAcentral.